UACGUAGGCGGUUAAAUAAGUCAGGUGUAAAAGGCAUUGGCUCAACCAAUGUAAGCACUUGAAACUGUUUGACUUGAGUAUAGGAGAGGUAAGUGGAAUUCCUAGUGUAGCGGUGAAAUGCGUAGAUAUUAGGAGGAACACCAGUGGCGAAGGCGACUUACUGGACUAUUACUGACGCUGAGGUACGAAAGACGUGGGGAGGCAAAACA
RNAcentral lists this ribosomal RNA (209 nucleotides) under uncultured bacterium. Its description in RNAcentral is "partial 16S ribosomal RNA". It matches the Rfam family "Bacterial small subunit ribosomal RNA", at positions 568 to 776 of the family's 1533-position model. The record is from RNAcentral.